GCUUACGGCCAUACCACCCUGAGCACGCCCGAUCUCGUCUGAUCUCGGAAGCUAAGCAGGGUCGGGCCUGGUUAGUACUUGGAUGGGAGACCGCCUGGGAAUACCAGGUGCUUUAAGCU
This 119-nucleotide ribosomal RNA is filed under the name Betta splendens (Siamese fighting fish). The record is from RNAcentral. Lineage: Eukaryota; Metazoa; Chordata; Actinopteri; Anabantiformes; Osphronemidae.